GACGAACGCUGGCGGCGUGCUUAACACAUGCAAGUCGAACGGAGUUCCUUGGAUAGAGGCUUCGGCCAAUUGAAUUGGAACUUAGUGGCGGACUGGUGAGUAACGCGUGAGGAACCUGCCUUUCAGAGGGGGACAACAGUUGGAAACGACUGCUAAUACCGCAUGACACAUUCGGGCGGCAUCGCUUGAAUGUCAAAGAUUUUAUCGCUGAAAGAUGGCCUCGCGUCUGAUUAGAUAGUUGGUGGGGUAACGGCCUACCAAGUCGACGAUCAGUAGCCGGACUGAGAGGAUGAACGGCCACAUUGGGACUGAGACACGGCCCAGACUCCUACGGGAGGCAGCAGUGGGGAAUAUUGCACAAUGGGGGAAACCCUGAUGCAGCGACGCCGCGUGAAGGAUGAAGGUCUUCGGAUCGUAAACUUUUGUCUUCAGGGACGAUAAUGACGGUACCUGAGGAGGAAGCCAACGGCUAACUACGUGCCAGCAGCCG
This 490-nucleotide ribosomal RNA is filed under the name uncultured bacterium. RNAcentral's name for it is "bacterial SSU rRNA". It matches the Rfam family "Bacterial small subunit ribosomal RNA", at positions 28 to 517 of the family's 1533-position model. The record is from RNAcentral.